This 650-nucleotide long non-coding RNA is filed under the name Salmo salar (Atlantic salmon). RNAcentral describes it as "lncRNA (ENSSSAG00000085761.1)". The record is from RNAcentral. Lineage: Eukaryota; Metazoa; Chordata; Actinopteri; Salmoniformes; Salmonidae.
GCUGAUGACAGUACUGUUGGCCUUGCCUGGCUGUAUGCACAGCAGAGCUGAUGACCGUACUGUUGGCCUUGCCUGGCUGUAUGCACAGCAGGUGACAGUACUGUAGGCCUUGCCUGGCUGUAUGCACAGCAGAGCUGAUGACAGUACUGUUGGCCUUGCCUGGCUGUAUGCACAGCAGAGCUGAUGACCAUACUGUUGGCCUUGCCUGGCUGUAUGCACAGCAGGUGACAGUACUGUAGGCCUUGCCUGGCUGUAUGCACAGCAGAGCUGAUGACAGUACUGUAGGCCUUGCCUGGCUGUAUGCACAGCAGAGCUGAUGACAGUACUGUAGGCCUUGCCUGGCUGUAUGCACAGCAGAGCUGAUGACCGUACUGUUGGCCUUGCCUGGCUGUAUGCACAGCAGGUGACAGUACUGUUGGCCUUGCCUGGCUGUAUGCACAGCAGAGCUGAUGACAGUACUGUUGGCCUUGCCUGGCUGUAUGCACAGCAGAGCUGAUUACAUUUACAUUUUGGUCAUUUAGCCGGCGCUGUAUGCCAGAGCGACUUACAGUAGUGAAUGCAUACAUUUCAUACAUUUUUUUCCUGUGCUGGCCCCGCUGGAUCGAACCCACAACCCUGGCGUUGCAAACACCUUGCUCUACCAGCUGUAG